CUACUCUCAGUUCGGAUUGUAGGCUGAAACUCGCCUACAUGAAGCUGGAGUUACUAGUAAUCGCAGAUCAGAAUGCUGCGGUGAAUGCGUUCCCGGGUCUUGUACACACCGCCCGUCACACCACGGGCGUUGGAGACGCCCGAAGCCGAUUAUCUAACCUUUUGGAAGAAGUCGUCGAAGGUGGAAUCAAUAACUGGGGUGAAGUCGUAACAAGGUAGCCGUAUCGGAAGGUGCGGCUGGAUCACCUCCUUUCUAAGGA
This 259-nucleotide ribosomal RNA is filed under the name Clostridioides difficile. Its description in RNAcentral is "partial 16S ribosomal RNA". It matches the Rfam family "Bacterial small subunit ribosomal RNA", at positions 1282 to 1533 of the family's 1533-position model. Lineage: Bacteria; Bacillati; Bacillota; Clostridia; Peptostreptococcales; Peptostreptococcaceae. The record is from RNAcentral.